UUGUUCACGGGUCUGUCACUUUCUCACCCUCAAACCACAGUGAAACCUAAUCUUCCCAACUUUACCGUUGUGAUUUCAAGAAAGAAAAGAACAAAAAAACUUUACCGUUGUGUUCCCCGCGCCGGCGCAUAUUUAUAUAAGAGGAACAUCCACGACCAGAUUUUGAAAAAUCAAAAAUAGUGCAGAAGAAAAGCAAGAGGGCGCUCACAUUGACAUGCCCUUCUUUUUUAACAGCGGCGUUUUUGAACAUCGUCUCAGACGUCCGGCCGCCUCCGCCGACUGCCCUCAGCCUCGAUCUGUUCUUUCUUAAGGUCUCGAUUUGUUAUUUCAAGGUUCUUGAAUUUCAAUUACACAUGGGCUCUACUGUAUGUCUUGGAUUACGACUGCAGUCUGCGGACAAGUGUCUGGGACUUACAUACAAGGAUGCUGGUGUGGACAUUGUUGCUGGAUCAGAACUUGUUCAGAGAAUAGGCAAGAUGGCUCUCUGAAUUGGAGGUUUUGAAGGCUUUUCCCUUUGGGGGAUUCGUAUAGAGAUGGAGUGGGAACGAAACUUAUAUUGGGUUUAGGGACUCGAUUCGACGAGACUACUGGCAUUGAAUUGGAGAACCUGCAGGCUUUGGAUUGGAUUGUCAUCUUUGUCCGCUGGCUGAUCUUCCCUACCAUUAGGUUGGGAAAGAAUGCAAUGCCGUCACUGAAGUCUCGCUGAAACCCAUAUUUAUUUGCAAGUUUGUUUCUAAUUGCAUUAAAAUUGUGAAAUUGUUCGAUAGGUUUUGGGUCCCACAACCCAUUGACUAGGUAAGGUGAGUAUUUAUUUAUUGGUGAAUUUCUAUCCGUACAUAUAAAGUGAAAUUUUAAGAGAUUUUCAAAUAAAAAUUGGACCAUAUUGAACUAAUGUUGGAGGUGAUAUCUGGUUUUCUUUAGCCCUAACACAUAUAGCGUUCAAUUAGCAAAGGGCAUCACCCUACCUGAUACAUCAUUCUCCACAUGCAUUAAAGCGAAGCAUAUAAGUUAGUAUAGGUUAGAGUUUGAAUUGGGUUUGCCAAUUAGGUGCAAACUAGAUAACCUCAUAUGGAUAAGAAUUGUGUGGGAAUUUGUUGACAUUUUAGAACCUAAUGGUAGCCUUACGUAUCUUCAUAGUCUUCUCUUCAAGUUUCUAACUGAAAAGCAACCAACGGCCCCUAUCAAUUCUUCUUUGCUGAUUUUUCUCCUAUAUUUUGGAAUCAAGAAUGGUUGAGACCAUUGAUUUUAUACUUUGUAUAAUUCAAACCUAAAAUUUGCUGCUCUGAUUUCUUUGGAAAGCCGUGCUUUCUCCAUUCUGGUUUGGAAAGUAUGGGAUUAGGGAUUUUUUAGGCUGCUCAAAAAUGUGAAUGAUGCAAGUAUAGAGUUGAGACCUUAAUGAGAGAACAAAUACCUCAU
This is a non-coding RNA of Sesamum indicum (sesame), 1416 nucleotides long. NCBI's taxonomy places the organism in Eukaryota, Viridiplantae, Streptophyta, Magnoliopsida, Lamiales, Pedaliaceae. The record is from RefSeq and is a predicted model, not a curated record.